AAUAGAUACCCAGGUAGUCCACGCCGUAAACGAUGAGUGCUAGGUGUUGGGGGGUUUCAAUACCCUCAGUGCCGCAGCUAACGCAAAUAAGCACUCCGCCUGGGGAGUACGGUCGCAAGACUGAAACUCAAAGGAAUUGACGGGGGCCCGCACAAGCGGUGGAGCAUGUGGUUUAAUUCGAAGCAACGCGAAGAACCUUACCAGGUCUUGACAUCCCGGUGACCGCUCUGGAGACAGAGCUUCCCCUCGGGGCAACGGUGACAGGUGGUGCAUGGUUGUCGUCAGCUCGUGUCGUGAGAUGUUGGGUUAAGUCCCGCAACGAGCGCAACCCUUAUCUUUAGUUGCCAGCAUUCAGUUGGGCACUCUAGAGAGACUGCCGUCGACAAGACGGAGGAAGGCGGGGAUGACGUCAAAUCAUCAUGCCCCUUAUGACCUGGGCUACACACGUGCUACAAUGGCUGGUACAACGGGAAGCUAGCCCGCGAGGGUACGCCAAUCUCUUAAAAACCCAGUCUCAGUUCGGAUUGCAGG
RNAcentral lists this ribosomal RNA (531 nucleotides) under uncultured bacterium. RNAcentral describes it as "bacterial SSU rRNA". It matches the Rfam family "Bacterial small subunit ribosomal RNA", at positions 777 to 1304 of the family's 1533-position model. The record is from RNAcentral.